This 65-nucleotide transfer RNA is filed under the name Sclomina erinacea. Its description in RNAcentral is "tRNA-Trp". The record is from RNAcentral. Lineage: Eukaryota; Metazoa; Arthropoda; Insecta; Hemiptera; Reduviidae.
AAAGCUUUAAGUUAAAAAACUAUUAACCUUCAAAGUUAAAAUUAUAGGGAGUCCUAUAAGCUUUA